GUCCCGAUAGGGUAGUGGAUAUCCUGAAAGCCUGCGGAGCUUUCGACCCGGGUUCAAGUCCCGGUCGGGGCG
This 72-nucleotide transfer RNA is filed under the name Methanomicrobium mobile. It matches the Rfam family "tRNA". From Rfam's summary of the family: Transfer RNA (tRNA) molecules are approximately 80 nucleotides in length. Lineage: Archaea; Methanobacteriati; Methanobacteriota; Methanomicrobia; Methanomicrobiales; Methanomicrobiaceae. RNAcentral also lists the same sequence under 1 other name. The record is from RNAcentral.